This 520-nucleotide ribosomal RNA is filed under the name Lygodactylus bradfieldi. RNAcentral's name for it is "partial 16S ribosomal RNA". It matches the Rfam family "Bacterial large subunit ribosomal RNA", at positions 1840 to 2597 of the family's 2925-position model. The record is from RNAcentral. Lineage: Eukaryota; Metazoa; Chordata; Lepidosauria; Squamata; Gekkonidae.
CUAGUAUUAAAGGUCCAACCUGCCCAGUGAAAACUUUUCAACGGCCGCGGUAUCCUAACCGUGCAAAGGUAGCGCAAUCACUUGCCCCUUAAAUGAGGGCUAGUAUGAACGGUUUCAUGAGGGUUUAACUGUCUCCUGAAGCCAAUCAAUGAACUUGAUCACUCAGUACAAAUGCUGAGAUAUAACCAUAAGACGAGAAGACCCUGUGGAACUUUAAGUUUUAAUUGUUGACCCCCCCCCAAAUACGGCCCUCAACAGGAAACUUCAGUUGGGGCAACUACGGGGUAAAACAAAACCCCCACGAAAAAUAACUAACCAUUAUACAAGCAGGCCCACAAGCCACAUAUAGCUGUCUGACCCAGUUCAAACUGAUCACCGAACCAAGCUACCCCAGGGAUAACAGCGCCAUCCCCUUUAAGAGUCCGUAUCGCCAAGGGGGUUUACGACCUCGAUGUUGGAUCAGGACACCCCGGCGGUGCAGCCGCUGCCAAAGGUUCGUUUGUUCAACGAAUAAAGUCCU